CAGUCGCCACGGGAAUACGAAGGGGGCUAGCGUUGCUCGGAAUGACUGGGCGUAAAGGGCGCGUAGGCGGCGAUCAAAGUCAGGCGUGAAAUUCCUGGGCUCAACCUGGGGGCUGCGUUUGAUACUUGGUUGCUAGAGUGAGGAAGAGGGUCGUGGAAUUCCCAGUGUAGAGGUGAAAUUCGUAGAUAUUGGGAAGAACACCGGUGGCGAAGGCGGCGACCUGGUCCUUGACUGACGCUGAGGCGCGAAAGCGUGGGGAGCAAACAGGAUUAGAUACCCCGGUAGUCCCUGUCUCUUAUAC
This 301-nucleotide ribosomal RNA is filed under the name uncultured bacterium. RNAcentral describes it as "partial 16S ribosomal RNA". It matches the Rfam family "Bacterial small subunit ribosomal RNA", at positions 509 to 807 of the family's 1533-position model. The record is from RNAcentral.